AGUGAACGCUGGCGGUAGGCUUAACACAUGCAAGUCGAGCGGCAGCACAGUAAGAGCUUGCUCUUACGGGUGGCGAGUGGCGGACGGGUGAGGAAUACAUCGGAAUCUACUUUUUCGUGGGGGAUAACGUAGGGAAACUUACGCUAAUACCGCAUACGACCUACGGGUGAAAGCAGGGGAUCUUCGGACCUUGCGCGAUUGAAUGAGCCGAUGUCGGAUUAGCUAGUUGGCGGGGUAAAGGCCCACCAAGGCGACGAUCCGUAGCUGGUCUGAGAGGAUGAUCAGCCACACUGGAACUGAGACACGGUCCAGACUCCUACGGGAGGCAGCAGUGGGGAAUAUUGGACAAUGGGCGCAAGCCUGAUCCAGCCAUACCGCGUGGGUGAAGAAGGCCUUCGGGUUGUAAAGCCCUUUUGUUGGGAAAGAAAAGCAGCAGGUUAAUACCCCGCUGUUCUGACGGUACCCAAAGAAUAAGCACCGGCUAACUUCGUG
This 492-nucleotide ribosomal RNA is filed under the name uncultured bacterium. Its description in RNAcentral is "partial 16S ribosomal RNA". It matches the Rfam family "Bacterial small subunit ribosomal RNA", at positions 29 to 507 of the family's 1533-position model. The record is from RNAcentral.